AACGAACGCUGGCGGCAUGCCUAACACAUGCAAGUCGAACGAGACCUUCGGGUCUAGUGGCGCACGGGUGCGUAACGCGUGGGAACCUGCCCUUAGGUUCGGAAUAACUCCCCGAAAGGGGUGCUAAUACCGGAUAAUGUCUUCGGCCCAAAGAUUUAUCGCCUUUGGAUGGGCCCGCGUUGGAUUAGCUAGUUGGUAGGGUAAAAGCCUACCAAGGCGACGAUCCAUAGCUGGUCAGAGAGGAUGAUCAGCCACACUGGGACUGAGACACGGCCCAGACUCCUACGGGAGGCAGCAGUGGGGAAUAUUGGACAAUGGGCGAAAGCCUGAUCCAGCAAUGCCGCGUGAGUGAUGAAGGCCUUAGGGUUGUAAAGCUCUUUUACCCGGGAUGAUAAUGACAGUACCGGGAGAAUAAGCUCCGGCUAACUCCGUG
RNAcentral lists this ribosomal RNA (433 nucleotides) under uncultured bacterium. RNAcentral describes it as "partial 16S ribosomal RNA". It matches the Rfam family "Bacterial small subunit ribosomal RNA", at positions 29 to 507 of the family's 1533-position model. The record is from RNAcentral.